Molecule: long non-coding RNA, 811 nt
Organism: Canis lupus familiaris (dog)
Lineage: Eukaryota; Metazoa; Chordata; Mammalia; Carnivora; Canidae
Exons: 2
Source: RefSeq, a predicted model, not a curated record
UGGUUCUCAGCUGUGGUUGGACAACAGGAGCUAUAAAAAAAAAAAAAAUCUUAUUGCCCAGGUAGCCCCUGAGAUCAAUGGAAUUCAAAUCUUGGGGAAAGACAUCGGUAUGUUUGAGAGCUCCUCAGCAGAUUUCUGAGUGCAGCCAUACUUGGGGACCUUAGUCCAAGGAUGCGGUUCCUGUAAACACCUCUUUGUUUAUAGCCAGAAAACCUGGUCCGGGCUCAGAGCUGAGCAGCUGUUCCUGAUAUUAUAUUGUUCAAAAUGGGCCAACACAGCUGGGCUUCAGGGAAAGGUGAAGGCUCUCUGGCCCUUCAGAUGCCCAGCGUGCACCCCUCCCCACGGCCAGUCUUGUCCUCUGGAGUCAGAUCCCUGACCUGGGAGGUGUGGAGCUAGUGGUUCCAAGCUCAGCCUCAAUGAGAUCACCUGGGUUUGCUUCCCUGCCUCUACUACCCGUGAAUCUUGGCAAGUCACUCCACCUUUACGUAAGACCAGUGCCUAGCGCCUGUGAGGGAUCCAGUGUGCUCCGUCUUCUCUCAUUUUGAAUCCACGUCUCUGAUUCUGGACUAGAAUUCUGAGCUGGAGUCUGGCCUAGGCCUCCCUUGACUUCACCCUAGCACUUUGGGGUACUCAAAUCUUGCUCCUGACCUCUAUUUCUCUGGCUGAAUCCCUCUCAGGAAGGGUGCAUAAACUCUUUUUUUUUUUCUUGUUUUGAAAAUUUGUCUCUUAACCUAGGGGCUGGCAAACUAUGGCCCGUGAGUCAUGUCUGGCCUACUGCCUGCUUUUGUAAAUAAAAUUUUAUUGGAACACA